GACAGAGGUCCCGAGCGUUAGGCGGAAUCACUGGGCUUAAAGCGUGUGUAGGCGGAUCCGUAAGUACCUUGUGAAAUCCCACGGCUCACCCGUGGAACUGCUCGGUAUACUGCGGGUCUUGGGCCAUCUAGGGGCGAGCGGAACAAACGGUGGAGCGGUGAAAUGCGUAGAUAUCGUUUGGAACGCCAAUGGUGAAAACAGCUCGCUGGGGAUGUGCCGACGCUGAGACACGAAAGCCAGGGGAGCAAACGGG
This 253-nucleotide ribosomal RNA is filed under the name uncultured bacterium. RNAcentral's name for it is "partial 16S ribosomal RNA". It matches the Rfam family "Bacterial small subunit ribosomal RNA", at positions 524 to 776 of the family's 1533-position model. The record is from RNAcentral.